ACUCCUACGGAAGGCAGCAGUGGGGAAUCUUGCGCAAUGGGCGAAAGCCUGACGCAGCAACGCCGCGUGGGGGAUGAAGGCUCUCGGGUUGUAAACCCCUUUCAGCAGGGACGAAAUUGACGGUACCCGCAGAAGAAGCCCCGGCUAACUUCGUGCCAGCAGCCGCGGUAAU
Molecule: ribosomal RNA, 172 nt
Filed under: uncultured bacterium
Lineage: Bacteria
Description: partial 16S ribosomal RNA
Rfam family: Bacterial small subunit ribosomal RNA
Source: RNAcentral